Molecule: long non-coding RNA, 670 nt
Filed under: Setaria viridis
Lineage: Eukaryota; Viridiplantae; Streptophyta; Magnoliopsida; Poales; Poaceae
Description: long non-coding RNA (SVIR_LNC009902)
Source: RNAcentral
CUACGGAAGAUGAAAAAGGCGAGGACUGAAAUGAGAAAGGAAGGAGUUCGGCAAGACGACUUCGGUUCACACGUGAAAGUGCUUCGAAAGGUGUCAGCAGGUGCGCAGAGCUGGAGCCGGCAUGUUCGCCCGCUGGGCCGAGUGUUCACCCACUUCAAAGUCUUCUUAGAGAGUCGAUCCGUGUCCGUCCCAGCAAGAAAACGGCUGCGCGUUAUUGUACUAACGCGCGAUGGAGCAAGAAAACGUAUGCGCGUGUACGGAAGCGCAACGGCUUUCGCGCUCAUCCCUUGCUUCAAAACUAAAGGUUUUAGCCCUCCGUUUGCUGGUCGCCAAAGACGAGAGCUUCGCCUUUGGAAGCGCCAGUAGCGUAGGGCGACCGGGCCAGCCGAGCCCCUCUGAAUUAGUUGACGGCUUUGAUGACUCGACGGUGAAUAUUAAGGAAAGGAGAGCGAGGGGAAGAGGGGUUUUAAAAACCCUUGGCCCGAUCAUCCAAUUCGCUCCGACGAUCCAGGCAUGGUUCAGUAGUCAAAGCAACUUCGUCACUUUCAUGUACCCAUCGGACGGCAGCCCUUUCGGGGGUUCCUUAGGGACCGAUUCACUCUGCGUAGAUUGACUGAAUGCAGAAAGCCUUCCACUGGCAGGCGAUCGUGUUUUUCACAGGAUUUCUUGU